Ornithorhynchus anatinus (platypus) is the source of this 288-nucleotide long non-coding RNA. RefSeq lists it as uncharacterized. The transcript is spliced from 2 exons. NCBI's taxonomy places the organism in Eukaryota, Metazoa, Chordata, Mammalia, Monotremata, Ornithorhynchidae. The record is from RefSeq and is a predicted model, not a curated record.
AGUACAGUGCAGAGUCCAAAGCUCAGUAAUUACGGUUGAUUGAUUGAGCUCCUCCUCAGUCAGUUGGAGUGAAAGGAUUUGAUCACGAGUGGAUAAAGCCUUGACAAUGACCAGUUUUGAAAUAAGGUGCCCUGGAGCAUCAGACAAGCAUUAGAAGAUCCAUCCUUUAACUUUUACAUUCGGGGUGCGGAAGAGAGGAGAGAGGGCCACUUUGCCCAGAAAAUUACUUUAUGACAGAUUCUCAAGUGGACACCAAAAAUAAUUAAUUAAAAUGGUCCAGAAUAAUCA